AGACACAGCCCAUACUCCAUCCUACGGGAGGUAGCAGCGGAGAAUUUUCCGCAAGGUAUUCGCCCAGUGAGGGACUCAUGUCUGAUUAGCUAGUGUCUCUCAGCCGGACUGAGACACGGCCCAAACUCCUAUGGGAGGCCGUAGUAGGUAAUUUUUCGCAAUGAGCGAAAGCAUGAUGGAGUACUGCCGCAUGGAGAUAGAAGGCCUACGGGUUUUGAACUUCUUUUCAUGGAGAAGAAGCAAUGACUGUAUCUGGGAAUAAGCAUCGGGUAAUUCUGUGCGAUGUUU
Molecule: non-coding RNA, 288 nt
Filed under: Ipomoea nil (Japanese morning glory)
Lineage: Eukaryota; Viridiplantae; Streptophyta; Magnoliopsida; Solanales; Convolvulaceae
Description: Bacterial small subunit ribosomal RNA
Rfam family: Bacterial small subunit ribosomal RNA
Source: Rfam by way of RNAcentral